AGUCGAACGCACCGCAAGGUGAGUGGCGCACGGUGUUGUCANGCGUGGGAACAUGAAAUGGUUUGGGGGAUAACCCGGCGAAAGCCGGGCUAAUACCGCAUACUUCCUGAGGGAGAAAGAUUUAUCGCUCUAGGAGGGGCCCGCGUCGGAUUAGCUAGUUGGUGAGGUAACGGCUCACCAAGGCGACGAUCCGUAGCUGGUCUGAGAGGAUGAUCAGCCACGCUGGGACUGAGACACGGCCCACACUCCUACGGGAGGCAGCAGUGGG
This 268-nucleotide ribosomal RNA is filed under the name uncultured bacterium. RNAcentral's name for it is "partial 16S ribosomal RNA". It matches the Rfam family "Bacterial small subunit ribosomal RNA", at positions 60 to 358 of the family's 1533-position model. The record is from RNAcentral.